This 56-nucleotide transfer RNA is filed under the name Bursaphelenchus mucronatus. RNAcentral's name for it is "tRNA-Pro". The record is from RNAcentral. Lineage: Eukaryota; Metazoa; Nematoda; Chromadorea; Rhabditida; Aphelenchoididae.
UUUAGUAUAUUUUAAAUAAAAAAUAUAACUUUUGGGUAGUUAAGAUUUUACUAAGA